Molecule: long non-coding RNA, 10690 nt
Filed under: Olea europaea (common olive)
Lineage: Eukaryota; Viridiplantae; Streptophyta; Magnoliopsida; Lamiales; Oleaceae
Description: long non-coding RNA (OEUR_LNC010718)
Source: RNAcentral
AGUCUCGAAAAUCUGUUUGACAGGCAGAUGGUAUGUCAGUUGAAGUAUAUUUAUCUCCUUUUGCUGUGCUUGUAGAUGAGUGCUUCGGUUGGGUGAAAAUGGAAAUACUAUCCAAAAUAUAAAAUUUUCAAGAACAUUAUUUUGGAUUUGUGUGAAAUUACUAUUGUAGAAGACCAUCUCUCUCUCUCUCUCUCUGUGUUUAUGUUCCCCUCCUUAGCAAACUUGUUGGAACAACUAGGGCUCUAGUUUACUUAGCUUGUGUUACUUAGGCUCGUGAUUAAAUAAAUAUCCAUUCAUGUUAUUAAGAUAUAUUUCUGCACUUCUAUUCAUCUUUAAGUGAGAUCAUCUGGCAAAGUAAUAGGUUUCAUGUUUAUCUGGGAUUAAAAAAAUACAGGGUCUAGUGAAGAGAGAAACUCGUUUUACUUCCAAGUGUCCUGCAAAUGAAAUUAUGUCAAAAAUCGAGGAAGCUGCUAAACCUUUGGGUUUUAAUGUUCACAAAAGAAACUAUAAGGUACCAACAAGCCUUAUCUGGAUGGAAGGAUACCAUCAAUGCUAAUGCAAAUUCAAAGAGAUAAUUUCAGCCUUGUGUGACAAUUUCUCAUUUCUAACUAUUGCAGAUGAAGUUAAAAGGUGACAAGACUGGAAGAAAAGGUCAUCUUGCUGUAGCUACAGAGGUAUUAACUUGAUUUUGGCUAUCAAAAUUCCAUAUAGGUUCAAUUUUAAAUGAAUAGCUCGGUAAUAAGGUAUUUUAUCUCAUUAAACUAGAUAAAAGAGGAUCCAUAUUAGUAAUAACUUUUGGUUUUGUGGUAGUUGUAACAAUUCAAUGAUUCAUGGUCUGUAGAUGGCAUGGAAAAAAUGAUUCUAAGGCUCAUACUAUGUAUUUUUGUAAAUAAUUAGAUAAUGGGGAAUAGACUUGAGAACUUGCAUAAUUACCUCUGUUGACAUUAUUGUCUUUUAGGUUUUUAUGUUGUUUUCUGAAAGAUAUUGUAGCAUAGCUCUUCUCAUGUUGUUAGUCUCACUUGGAAAGAAAUAGAAAGGGGAGAUGAAGGAUAUGUACCAUACCAUACAAGGUCAUGCCUAAAAAUAGAAAAAUCAUCAUAAAAAGGUGCAAGCCACCGAAAGAUAUAGAGAGAAGGAAGGAAGAAAGCAAAGCUCCCUUUAUUAGUCGUUUCUAUUAGUGGUUUUUUAGUUUGUCCAAGUUUGAUUUGGUAGUGAAUAUUAAUUAGUUAUAUAUUGGGUUUGUAAACUUACUAGCGCGAGGACUAUAUUAAUCCUUGUAAGGCUAUAAAUUCAUGAAAUAAAGUUUUUUAGAAUUUAAAGCAACAGUGCCUUGUGUGAUGCAACUCCUAAAUCCUUGAGCCAUAUUCUACAUGCCAUAAAAGCAUAUAGGUAAGGGAACAAUCACUUAUUAUUUACUGUAAUAUCUUGGUAUCAAAUGCUUGGCUCACUGUUAGAUUCAGGAAAUAAAUUGGUAUAAUGAUUUUUUACUGUUAUUGACAUCUCUACCUUCUUGUGUACAUACUUCACAUUUCAUUAUCCAUACUUUGUGAAUUCUUUGUUGUCAAACAUGUGUAAGAAUUACUAUAUAGUGUUGUUACAUCGAGAACCACCAUCUCUUGGCACUCAAUUUAGGCAGGAAAUGCUUCAGUAGCCUUUAGAACUCCUGUGAAAUUCUUAUGUUUGCACCAAGAAUGCUGGCUAAUUUAUAUAUGCAAACUACUUUCUGGAUAUAGCACUUGAAACCUUCUUAAAUAACGCUUCGUCAUGACUACGAAAAGAAGCUGAAAAUUCAUUAAGGAAAUAAAGAUAAUUGGGUAUUCAGCAGCAGAUUAUUGAUAUAGUUUUAAAGGAGUUCUUGAAUUUUUAAUCCAUUUUCCGUCUGUUUUUCCAACUUGGUAAUAGUAUUAAAUACUUGGUCACUUGCAAUUUUUUACUUCAGGUUUUUGAGGUGGCUCCUUCUGUGCAUAUGGUGGAACUACGUAAAACUGGUGGUGACACACUAGAGUUUCACAAGGCAUGGCAAUGCUUAAUUUCUAGACGUCCUUAAAGUACAUUUAUUUCAAACGCCAAGUUGACCAACUAAUGAAUUUUUUUGCAAUGUCUAAUUAUUUUGCAGUUCUACAAGAAUUUCUCUUCCGGAUUGAAAGACAUUGUGUGGACCUCUGAGUUAGAAGCAGAAGAAACAAGGUGAAGAGUUUAUAUCCCUUCCCCUUUCCUCUUCAUGUAUGAUACAUGUGGAUACCGUUUUCACAAUUUUUUUUCUUUUUUCUCUGUCAGAUCAUAGCAACUUCUCCAUGCAAUUGAUUGAUUUCUUGGAUUCGCCAAGCGAAUUGCAUAUUUAGUCUAAGAAAUCUAAGAUAGCAAGGUAAAAGGACAACAAUAGCUCUUAAUUUAUACGAGCCUAUGGGAUGGAAAUAUAGCUCAAGUGCUCUGUUAUGUGAGGUAUUAGUUCAAUAUUCUUGGUUGUUUCAGUUUUCUCCUUACAUCCUUUUAUCAUUUUGAAUUGAAUUCAUUGGGAUGCUUUCUUGGGAGUUAUUAUAUAUAUCAUAUAUCGAAUAUAUUUAGGACAUAUUUGAUCGUUGUUCUCUCGCUAACAAUCUCCUAUAUACCACCGUGUUAAACCCCUACAAUUCUAAUUUAAGGCGCCCUAUGUUUGAACUUUUAUUUUUCCCCGAUUAUUUACAAUUUUGUUUAAAUUCUAUAGGACUAAUUUNNNNNNNNNNNNNNNNNNNAUGGUGUGGAUUUUGGUGGGGGGGGGGGGGGGGGGAUUCUUGGUUGUCUUACCUCUUGAAGAGUAUACCAUAAAAUGUCCAUGAAAACUAAAGGAUUUCCUGAUUGUUUUGGUAUUAGAUUAGUACAGCAUCAGUUUUGUAUUUGAGAAUUAAGUCAAUUUCAUGAAUUGUAGAGAAAAUCUGCUUGUCAUUUAGUGUACGUGAAAACUGGGAUGACAGUGGAAUUAGUAUAGAGAUCAUGUCUCCCCUAAAGUUGAUUAUAUUUGGUAUCAAAUUUUGAAUCUGGACGUAACGGAUAAGUACUACAACAAAAAUUUGCAACAGGAACAAGGCGACAAAUAAAUAUUUAAAAAUGAAGAUAAAUAAAUAAAUGAAACAAGACUACAAAUAAAUAUUUUUUAAGUUCUCCAUUGACCCCAUCUUUUAGAAAUUGCCAACGGGACGGGGAGUUGGCGAGAAAAAUUUUGUUGGGUGGUACGAUCAUCGAAUGGGAAGCUAUUACCUCAUCAGGUGGUCCACGCUUACCCAAUAAGAUGAGAUCACCUUGAGACUUGAUUUUUUUUCUCUUUCCAUCUCAAGUCCCGAGGUGGCUUCAUCUCAUUGGGUGAGGAUGGGCCAUCUGAUGAGGUGGUGGCUCCCCAUUUGCCUGUCCCACCACAUAAGACGGUAGGACAUUCCCACUAAAGUUUUUCGCGGGAGUUGGCACACAAAAGAGACUUGGGAUGAAGAAAAGCUUGUCGUCAUGUCCCAUCCCAGUGCAAUUUGUGUAAAUAGAGCUGUCGAUUUUGCUUUGAACAAGAAUUUCAGAACUGAUGGAAGUUGGAAGUUGCUCUUAAAUGCCAAAAUCUUUAUGUGCAUUUUAUGGAUAAAGAUGUAAAAGUAGGGCAUACCCUCUUCAAUACGUUCUUGUUCUCCAGCUAUUUGAGAAGGAUAGCAUCUGAGUCUGUGGGCUGGGUUUUGUUUUAAUGUCAAGAUUAGAUAAAUUUAACACGUUGUAAACGUAAGUGUUUACUGUUUACGUAGUUGACUUGUUUUGGAAAGAAUUUAGAAAAAAUGGGAAUUUUUCUCAAUCUACUACUUAUUUUAGGCACAAAUUUAUCGUGGAUUAAUUCUGAAUGGUUUUCUAUUUUUUUUUUCCUGUUAACCGGAUGAAGAAGUCAAUUUAUAAAUGCAAGACAUGAAACGUGAUUUUGUUAUGAUUUACAAAAAUGGGCAAAGAAAGGGGCUAUUGUGACCAUUGCACUCAAGACUUUCUAAUGUCUCGGUGUUAAAUUGGGCCCCGUUGAGAUGCCAGUCACCACCGGUUCAAGCUCUUCCAUCUUAUUUGUCCUUUCUAAUUAAAGAUGGAUUGAGCUUUCUCGAAAAAAAGAAAUUAUCCUCUCAUUUUGUAUGAUUAUUUUGUAUUGUAAAAUUUGAAAUCUGAAUGCAACUAACUCCUUGUCUAACAAUACACUAUUUUUAGAGUAAUGCUAUGUAACUUCACUGAAGUUUCAACCCCGAUAUAGGUGGUGGGUUGCGCCAUCUCUACUGAUAUUGUAAUCCCAAUGGACUAUACAGCAUUAUUCCUAUUUUGGUUCAUAUAAUCAAAGUGGUGAAUUCAGUGCUAGACACUAUUAUUUACGAUAAAUUUAUGGGCAAAUUUCAUCCUUAAAAUUGGCUUAUAAAGAGAUGUUAACCAAAAUAUUUAUAAACUCAAAAGGCAAGCCUUCCGCGAGCGAUGUUGGAUAUAGUUAGAUGAUCACAUUUCAUCCUUCUUCAAAACCAUGUCCCCAGCAGCCCAUUUCCAUAUGUGGAAGACUCGACGGAAAUAAUAUGCUACUCUUAGUAGAUCUCCGUAGGUAGCCCUAAAGGGUGCAUGAAAUGCUUAUAAACUCACAAGGCUUACCUUCUACGAAGAAAGUGGAAUGCAAUGUAUAGCUCGCAUACACACAUGACGAUCGAUACUCGACUUCUUGUACUCAACCUUAUACUCUGGAGUAAAACUGUGUAAUAAUAUUUUUCUGAAGAAAAAUAAUAAUAAAGCAUGCAUUAAUUUAGGUACCAUCUUUGUCCUACCAUGUCAUUUAUUACAUUUGUUGAUGGCCAGCCACCACUACCUAACUCUCUUAAAGAAUUACCAGUUUCGUCCUCAUACGCAAACUAACAUAACUCACAAUGUCAAACACAUUCCUGUGUAUGUAUAUGUGCGUGUAAACAGAUACCAUCUGCUUGCUGUGUUCAUGUGAAAAAACAAAGUCUUGGACUCUCACAUGGCCAAUUGGCACUUGCUCAAAAAACCCACCUUCGUUAACAAACAUAUACCUAUAAUUAGGUUUGGCAAGCUCAGGAUUUCUUCAAACCCUUUCCUCUUUGGUAAUUGGUAGUUGAGCUAUCUGUGUGAUCCUUUUUUCAAAGACUUGCACCAUUAAAAAUUGAGACUUUUGGUGCAGUUUUCUUGUAGCUUUGUAUUUUACAAUCUUUCCUUUUCUUUAAAAUCUAAAAUCCAUUUUUUUCUCCUCCAAUCCCAACUAAUAAUUGCUUACAGGCGUGUUAAGAUUGGUUUGUUCAUCUUAUUAUAGACUCUUCUGAAAAAUACCAUCUGUUUCUUGUUUAAGAACACCAACAAGAGGAGAGAAAUGAAGAACAUAGAAAUGGAUGAGGAAAGACUAAUGGCCGACGUGGCGUUUAAGAACUCCUCGUCUGUGGUCAUAAAAAUCCGGCGAAAAUUGCCGGAUUUUUUGCAGUCUGUUAAGCUCAAAUAUGUCAAAUUAGGCUAUGGUUAUUCGUGCAAUCCUGCAACUCUCCUUAUUUCCAUUGUAGUCUUCCCUUUGUUCUUUGCUACUGCUAUACAACUCAGUGGUCUAACCCUCAGACUUUUUUCUGAUAUUUGGACCAAACAAACAAUUGUUUUCGAUACAGCCACCGUUGUAAUCGGUUCGACCGUAUUGAUGUUUUUGUUAGGCGUGUAUUGGGCCAAACGGCCAAGACCAGUUUACUUGGUUGAUUUCGCGUGUUACAAACCAGAAGAUGAACGGAAAAUGUCAAUUCCAUCGUUCUUGAAGAUGACCGAAGAGAAUGGUGCAUUUGAAGCGGAAUCAAUUCAGUUCCAGAAGAGGAUAUCACACCGGUCUGGCCUCGGUGAUGAUACGUAUUUCCCUCGGGGAAUUACAUCCACGCCCCCUAAUCUAUCCAUGAAAGAAGCCAGGUUGGAGGCCGAGGCUGUCAUGUUCGGAGCACUGGAUUCUCUCUUCAGCAAAACUGGAGUUAAACCGAACGACAUUGGAAUUCUUAUCGUGAACUGCAGCUUAUUCAAUCCAACCCCGUCUUUGUCCGCCAUGAUAGUCAACCAUUACAAACUUAGAACUGAUAUCAAGAGCUACAAUCUUGGAGGAAUGGGGUGCAGUGCUGGCCUCAUAUCAAUAGACCUGGCAAAACACCUUCUUCAAGCUAACCCUAAUACAUAUGCAGUUGUAGUGAGUACUGAAAAUAUCACUCUCAAUUGGUACUUUGGAAAUGACCGUUCAAUGCUAUUGUGUAACUGCAUCUUUCGUAUGGGUGGCGCCGCCAUGCUUCUCUCGAACAAGGCCCGCGACAAAUCCCGGUCCAAGUAUGAGCUGAUCCAUACCGUUCGAACCCAUAAAGGUGCAGAUAACAAUAGCUACAAUUGUGUCUAUCAAAGAGAAGAUGGUAAAGGAACAGUUGGAGUUUCACUUGCUCGAGAAUUGAUGGCCGUAGCCGGUGAUGCUCUGAAGACAAAUAUAACGACUUUGGGACCUUUAGUUCUACCAUUUUCUGAACAAUUCAUUUUCCUGGUUACCUUGAUGAAGAAAAAGGUCUUCAAAGCUAAGGUCAGGCCUUAUAUACCUGAUUUCAAGCUUGCUUUUGAACACUUCUGCAUACACGCUGGUGGAAGGGCAGUGUUGGACGAGUUGCAAAACAACCUUCAACUCACUGAGUGGCACAUGGAGCCAUCGAGGAUGACACUGCACCGGUUCGGGAACACGUCUAGCAGUUCAUUGUGGUAUGAAUUGGCUUACACAGAAGCGAAAGGCCGGGUUUCAAGGGGCAAUCGGGUUUGGCAGAUUGCGUUUGGGUCGGGUUUCAAAUGUAACAGUGCUGUUUGGAGAGCCCUGAGGGAAAUUCCAGCUAAAGAAUGCGAGGGUAACCCCUGGUUUGAUUGUAUUGAUAAGUAUCCUGUUGAGGUUCCUGUAAUAUAAAUUUGUUCAUGGAGCUUAUUGAUGGAAGUGUGCUUAUAAGUGAUAAAUUCUAUUUCUGUAUUAACUUUUUCAUACGAAGAUCCAAGCUACAGGCUUAUAGCUGUGUGUACCCAUAUUUCAAAUAGAGAACAAAUCUAUUGUAAAUGUUAGGUCCUAUGCCCAAUCGAUUUUGGACGUAAACACUUUUAAUAUGAUCAAUGUAUUUUAUAUAUGACGAUAUAUUAUUCAUUUGAAUUACUAUUCUAAUAAUUAUACUAUAUAAAGUCCGUAUAUUCAAAUCCUGGUAAAUUGUUAAUUACAAUGAGUUGUAAUAGUAAGAGACAAAUCACACAUAAUUGAAUCUUAAAUUAUCUGUGAUUAUAAGUAAUAACGAGAUACAGAUAUUGUUAUUAUGAAUACACUUUCAUGUGUGGCAUUUUUCACUUGUGAAAUGAGUAGCCGACCUCACAAGUUAAAAUGUAAUGAUAUUUGAAUGGACGUGUGAAUGUUUUGUUAUGAGAACAUAAUAUUGGAAUGUUAUAAGAACAAAACAUUGGAAACCCAUUGGAAAGAUUUUACGUGGAUAACUAUUUGAAUGUUAAUGUUUAAUCUCUAACGUUCGGUAAUGAAAUUGGUCACUCAACUUGAGAUCAUCAUAGUAUUUUAUAUGAGGGCAGUCAUGUUUUGAUGGUAUUGAAUAUUACUCUACCAAGAGUCAUAAAUAUGGUAUCGUUCGAGUAUGUCCAAAAUCAUGUGAAUGUUGUAAAUGAUUAAUAAAGGAUUUGUCACUCUUAGAUAGUAAGAUAUUAUAAUCUAUAUUUCAUUCAAUUAAGUUGAUAACGAAAUAUGUGCUCAUAAGUCGAAAAGAAUAUUUUUGAUUUAAGAGUGAGAUGAAAAAUAUCAUCAAUAAUCGAGAUUGACACUCUUCCAUUGAUCAUAUCAUAUUGACGAAAAGAUUAUAUUUUCACAGUAAACGAACAAGUUUGUUUUUGUCAUACCACGUGAUAUUUAUCGUCACGUUUAUUGUCAUGAUACAUUGUUAGAUAUAAAUCUGGGACGAUGAGUAUGAAUUAAUGAUAAAUUAAAACAAUUUUUUAAUUUACCGAUUUUGAUUAAAUCAAAAUAAUAAUUCACAUCGUUAGGUAUCGUGAUUGAGAACUUAAUGGAUCACACACAAUAAGGAAAUCUAGAAGAAUGAUAUUAAUUAUUAACUAAUUGAAAUUAGACCUGGCUAAAUUUAAAGGACAGACCAAGCUCACUUAAAUAUUUAUUAAUAAACUGUUAGGGGUUGAGAAAUGAUAACACGUUCAUUAUCUUAUUAACCCAAGAAAAGAGAAAUCUUAAUUCUCUCUUUUUUUUCCCUUGUGUGGAUUAUUAUUAGAGGCUUUACAAUUGGACAAUUGCGGUGUACAAAUCGUGAUUGUACGUGUUUCAAGAUAGUCAAAGAACUUCGUAGAAUUAAUUAAAGGUGAAUUCUUAUUAUAGUUUCCAUCUAAACAAAAAGAAAAUCCCCGAUGAGAAUUGAAAUUUUUUAAAUUUUGUUGUGCAUGAUUAAGUAAAUUCUCAACAUUUAUAUGCACUUAUUUGGUUGUUGAUUUUAAUUUAAGUCAAAGUCAACAGUAUUCCUUUAAUUUGUACAUGCGCUAGAGGAGAUUGAGAGUACAGCUAUUGACCUCAAAAAAUUGAUAAUAUUUUAGAGUCAACAGUCGAAUUUUCUGCCUGAAUUUCCGGAGGAUCUUCCUUCUUUUUGGGAAAGUUUUUAUGAAAACCUAUUGUUUAUAUAAAAGGAGUAAGGACCAAGGUUAUUUUGACCAGAUAGUAUUUCUCGCUCGAAGAGAGUGAUUUUUCGAGAUCGAUGUCGCGGAUUUUCAUUUGAUACAAUGCUCUUUUUCACAAUAGAAGUUUUGAUAUCAGAUUUUCCCUCUCUGCUUAUUGUGCAAUGGCUUUAUAUUUUUAAGGGCAUUUUGGUCAUCUAAUGAGUUGACAUUCUUUAGUAAUUAUGUUGAGAGUUAUAAAUUUAUAAUUAUCUUGAUUGAAGAUAUUCUUUCAGUCCCCGAGAUAUUGGUCCAUGUUAAAGGAGGUAAGUCCAUUUUAGGUUCUUAGUUCCCCCACUGAGGCAACAUAUAAUUCCUCAAAUUAAUGAAGGCAUACCUAUAGAGGAACUUGACUCUCUCAUUGUGUUUCGAAUAGAACAGAGUUGGCACAAUUUCUCAAUGAGUUAACGGAGAAAGGCCUAAAGAGGACCUUGACUCCCUCAUUGGAUCUUUAAAUAGAGUGGAUGGAACCAUUUUCUUGGAGGACAAGGCCUUUGGAAUCCUAUGCUAGGACCUGUCAAUGACCCAGCUCCAGCAUCAGUGGUUAUCCUAUGCUAAAGCUUGGAGUCUUACAGAUGCCCGGAAUCAUAAAGGAUUAUAGCUAACCCAUUUCCUUGAUAUUAGAGAACCAUGAGUCUAGUUUUGGAAGACUUGCAGUCUACCAACAAUAGUGACGCAUUUAUAGGAGCCACUAUUACCCCAAAUGUGUGGUGAAGACAUAAUAACUAGCAGCGAAAGCUGACCUUCAACAGGGAAACCACCAGCAGAAAAUAGCACAAUGUAGUAAGCGAGGGACUGCAGCCUUCCAAAUAUUAGAGAUGACCAUGAGCUAUAGUAUUGAAAGCUUAUUGUUGUCUCGAAUAAAUGAGGACUUAUAGUCAGACUACAGCCGGCCUUAGCAUCAUAGAUAAUCACGGGCCAAGUUCGAAAAUAGUAAAGCUUGGCCCCUGCAUAGCAAUAGGUCCGAUGGGCAAGCGUUGGGUGAGCAAAGACCAAAGGCUUGUCGAAGCCUCCAGCAUCAGAUAUAAUCAUGAGCUAGGACCUGACCUAUAGCUGGCAUUUGCAUCAUAGAUGAUCACGUCUAAGAUCAAGGUGUCUUUCUCUCAAUUGUGCCUAGUGUACGAGGGAAAUUGUUCAAAGUCCCUUCUGUGGCUGACUAGAAGUCUAGACGGACAAUAAUUAUUCUAGUACGACAACAUGAAUUGAAAUGGGAAGAUUGAAGACGAGAUAAAGAGGAGUUUCAAUUGAAUGCGUACUCUACUUUGCAAGGCCACAGAUUCCAAUGAGUUGCUUAUGUUGGAACGUCUACAAGGCGGGAGAUCCAAGCACGGAAGGGGAACUUCACCAGAUCAGCACUUUCUCUAACUCUGAGUCUUCCUGUCCAGACAAAUUGAUUGGCACACAAGCUUGCGGUCGUGGUAGAAGUGGCAGACUCUUAUUAUUGUGGCAAGAUGAAUGGGAUGUUAGCACCACAUCAUACUCCCACGAUCAUAUAGAUGCUCUUAUCACUCGGAAUUGAGUGGCAAUUUUCUAAACUCUACGGGAACCCACGACCAGAACUUCACCAGUUUUCUUGGGAGAAACAAGGAAUAUUGGGAAAAGCAAAAUAAAGAGCAAAAUUAAAGAGUUUGUUGGAGUGUAUAAACAAAUUGUUACAAAUUUAAGGAUGCUCUCUAAAAAUAAAGAGUGGAAAUGCUCUAAUUGGUUAAAAUAUUAUUUGGAAAAGGCAAAUGUCUGAUUCAAUAACAUUCAAAACUUUGAAAUUUGUAUCUGAAAACUGCAUUUUAUCUCUUAUGUGUCCCAUGUUGACUUCAGGUCUGUCCUCAUCUCUAGCUUGCAUAACAUACAGCUCCUCUAUUUUAUUUUAUUUUAUUUUUUUGACAGUUCGUCAGCAGGCACAACAUUUUACCUCCACCCAUCCUGUGGCAUGAGAAAACAACGGUUCAGAACAGAUUCUCAAGAAGGUGAU